UGUAGCAACAAAGUUUUUUGCGCGAAUUACUAAAACAUUUUCAGUUAACAAAAAGCACAAACUACUGAUUAGCCAAAGAAACAGAAAAAAAUUAACACUUCACAGUAUCACUCUAUAGCUACGAAAUAGGUAUAUAUACACUAAAACAAUAGGUUUAUAAUGAACUAAUAAGAUCAGCUUCCCGGCUAUGGUAUCCCAAAGUAUUUUAUAUACCUACCGGACCAUAACAGCUUGUAUAAAGGUUAGCCGGCAUGCCAAUUCCGGUAACUACGGAUUGGGAUGCGCACUUGCUGCUACAGAAGUGUCUUAUUGCGGUAGCACUCUGUCCUGCAUCUUCCAAACCUACAGAACCGAACAGGUCGAACACUGCCUCAUAAUUAAGCAUUAACAUUGUAGGGCAUAAACAUUUUCGUGAACUGGCAGAAUAGAAUGAUUCCGUCGCCAUCGCCAUGAGAGAAAUGCAUGUGCAGUGGUGCACAGAAACGACCAAACAGUUGGAAAUCUGUAGUGCCUUUGAAGAAGUUUUACCACGGUAUCCUGGCUCUACAAAUUUGGCUCCUUCCAGCUUUUGCGUUAGAAUCCCUACAAUGCCAACGUGAAUGGAUUUCCCGCUAUCAAUCUGGUUGAUAUCGACAAACUUGACGGGCAGUUGUCUCCAGGAGCAAGUUCAAAAUCAAAGGACUGUGGUAAAAAUUCUGAUUUGAUUUUCCAUUUUUUGCUCCACUGGAUCUUGAAGCCACACCGGUUUUCAUCAAAAUUUCCGGUAAGCACGAAGUUAACUGGCAUGCUUAAGUUGUUGUAAAUUAAAACUCCGACACUUGAACGAUAAUAAUAGUUGUAUACGACCAGCAGAAGAGGGAUUAAUACCAGGAAGACAAAGUUAAUCCCAAUGCGCCAGGCGAGCGCAAACCACGAAGUUAAAAUAUCGUUGAGUGCAUUAGAUCCAUGGGAACCCAUGAAGGCAACUUUGACUGCGUUCGCGUCUUUUGUGACGGAUCCAGUAGCUGAUGGUGGAAAAGAAGAGAUGAAGGCGAAAAUUAUGAAGCCCGCAAUGCAUAAAAGCAACCUCUUGAAUGGAAUAAACGGCUCAUAUUUCGGUGGGACAGGCGCCUUGUUGCGCAUGAAAGCACACAUUUCGUCAUAACUGGUAAAAGGAGCAACGUUAUUGGGGGCGCGAUGUUUCUGAAUUAUGGCUUCAAGCAUUCCCAUGUUGGAUCCCUGAUACUUGGCAAUGAUUUUUCCCUUCUUCAGUAACACGAAAGCGGGCUGUAACAAAAUUAAAGUAAACAAUCAGAAACUGGAAUGACAGCACCAUCCCAUAAAAUUACAACAGCGCAAAAAGUUGAAACUGAUUUUGAUUCAAUCAAAAUUGUUUAAGGUGCUUACAGACUACCAAAUGGCAUAAUUUACGAGUUCCCUUUUAAGAUCUUUUGUUAAAAUUUAUACGUUUACGGCUUACGAUUAUAUAAUAACUGGGGGUGUUCUGUUUAAACCUAGUUGCACUUUUAUAGGAAUUUUUUUUAAUUCGGAAUUUCAGCCAACUCAAAAAGAAGGCAGAUUACAUAAAUGCUACUCACAGUUUUCGUGAUCUGAUAACUCGGGAGGAUGUUCUCAACUUUAUCCACGUCCACUUUGACGAACUGGGCGCUGUCCGCGUACUUCUCGGCCAACUGUUCAUAAGCGGGAGCCACCUUCGUACAGUUUCCGCACCAGGUGGCGUAGAAUUCAGCAAUGACGAGCUCAUUACCAGCCUUGCUCAGCAGACGCUUCAUGCUGUUUUUUGACUGGACGUCUUUCAGGCUAGGCAUGAUUAAAGGUCGAGUGGAGAAAUAACGGAGGAAAAAAGUGAAAUUCCUCGCAAGGUUCCGUAACAGUAAAGUUGUGAAAACCAAUAUGAAGUUGAAGAUCAGCACAAUGACGAAUAGAGUAAACAGCGGCUGAAUAAAACGUAAGAAGUUGUUGUGAGUACUAAUAACUAAUUACUCGAAAGGCAAAAAGUAUGCGCUGCGACAAUCUUUUUCAAACUUAAUAACUUGCACCUUUUUUUUGAAAACCUAAUACACACUUAUUGCACAUUGUGCAGUGCACAAUGCACAGGAAGCACAUGCUCAAAGUGCAGUUGGCAGCAGCAUCCCGGUGCAAAUGACAUGAAUGGGAAAUAUUAUUUUGCAUUUGUAAGU
This is a long non-coding RNA of Paramacrobiotus metropolitanus, 2180 nucleotides long. RefSeq lists it as uncharacterized. The record is from RefSeq and is a predicted model, not a curated record. NCBI's taxonomy places the organism in Eukaryota, Metazoa, Tardigrada, Eutardigrada, Parachela, Macrobiotidae. The transcript is spliced from 4 exons.